GCAUUGUUCAGUGGUUAGAGCAUCCGCUUUGCAUGCAGGAGAACCAGGGUUCAAUCCCCAAUGGCACCU
Molecule: non-coding RNA, 69 nt
Organism: Podarcis lilfordi (Lilford's wall lizard)
Lineage: Eukaryota; Metazoa; Chordata; Lepidosauria; Squamata; Lacertidae
Source: the annotation of a GenBank genome assembly